RNAcentral lists this ribosomal RNA (456 nucleotides) under uncultured bacterium. Its description in RNAcentral is "bacterial SSU rRNA". It matches the Rfam family "Bacterial small subunit ribosomal RNA", at positions 340 to 786 of the family's 1533-position model. The record is from RNAcentral.
UACGGAAGGCAGCAGUGGGGAAUAUUGCACAAUGGGCGCAAGCCUGAUGCAGCCAUGCCGCGUGUAUGAAGAAGGCCUUCGGGUUGUAAAGUACUUUCAGCGGGGAGGAAGGCGAUGCGGUUAAUAACCGCGUCGAUUGACGUUACCCGCAGAAGAAGCACCGGCUAACUCCGUGCCAGCAGCCGCGGUAAUACGGAGGGUGCAAGCGUUAAUCGGAAUUACUGGGCGUAAAGCGCACGCAGGCGGUCUGUUAAGUCAGAUGUGAAAUCCCCGGGCUUAACCUGGGAACUGCAUUUUGAAACUGGCAGGCUUGAGUCUUGUAGAGGGGGUAGAAUUCCAGGUGUAGCGGUGAAAUGCGUAGAGAUCUGGAGGAAUACCGGUGGCGAAGGCGGCCCCUGGGACAAGACUGACGCUCAGGGUGCGAAAGCGUGGGGAGCAAACGAGGAUUAGGAUACC